Molecule: long non-coding RNA, 1361 nt
Organism: Vicia villosa (hairy vetch)
Lineage: Eukaryota; Viridiplantae; Streptophyta; Magnoliopsida; Fabales; Fabaceae
Exons: 5
Source: RefSeq, a predicted model, not a curated record
UCUUCCCAAAACCCACACCCACACGCAAACCUCAAUUCUCUUUCUUCUUUUCUUUCCUUCUCUCCAUCUGUUACUAUUUUCCUUCUCUGGUCGUCUCUCUUCAUCUUCACCUCCCCCAACCCUAGCCGCCACCACAGUUCCUUCUCCCUUCAAUGCAACCCCUUCUCCAUUCUCUCAGAUUUAAAAAUUUUUUGUCUCUUCUUUAUGGCACUUCAGAUUCAGUUAUUUAGAUUUGUUCGCUCAUGGCUUCCAAUUUGCAAAAGGACAUUCCUUCUGGUGAAGCUGAUGUGUGAAUAUAAAGGUGUUCUACACAAAGUGCUCCCUAAAAUUCAACAGGUAUGCUUUCUUAAAAUUGCUUGCUAUUUGUGAAAGUAAUAUGUAUUUGGUGCUUUUAUUGCAGAUUGUUAAAAUCAUGCAUGAUUUUUUUGUCGUUUGUUCAUAAUGGGGGUCUAUUGAGGGCCUCAAAAAGUCUUUAUAAAUCCACAGGGAAUUAAUUGGAUUGUUGCUCAUAGUGUUAAACUUGUGAUAUAACUGGAAAAUGACUAUUUUUUUAUAACACCUCAUAUAAUUAUGCUAUGUUGGCUGGAUAUUCACAAAUAAGAUUUCAAUAAUGGUUAGGAAGAUACCUUGCUGCAGCUGUAGAGAAUGUUGUCUCCAUACUUGAUGUCGAUACAGAAGCAUGUCGAUAUUCACUAAGGAUAAAGUUGCUUGACGUAAUUAUCUCCAUGGCGAGUUUGUAGACUUUGAUUUGUGGUCUCCUUGGUCUUCCUCCUUCAAAUGGAGUCCUUCCAGAGUUCCUCAUGCAUACAAAGAGUUUGGUAGUUCUUAGGAGGCAGCUUAUCCGAAAGAAGGUUGUGGAAAGCGUCAAGGAAUGCAUGGAACAACACAAUACCAGCUCUGAGUUAUACGGGAAAAUACAAGUUGUGUUCUUUGAAAUGGAUACGGCCCCUAGCGUAUGUAUUGUUGGAUUAUUAGCUCUGUGUUGGGGGCUGAUUCAGAUUAACGUAAAAGGAUGAUAUGCAGCUCUAUUAUUCCUGCAGCAACGAAGGCUAUUCUGUUGAAUCAUCGUUUUCAGUUACAGAAGUCCUUAAAAUGUCAGAUACGAAGUCAAAGCUUGACCGUUGAUCCUCGAAUGUUGAUCCGACCUAACCCGACAAAGCAUGAGUUGUGGGAGUAGACAAUUCAAGCCUAAUGGGCUGCUAACAGAGCAUACAUACAUACUAAAGAGAUUCAUGAGAAUUUGAUAUAGUACACAACACUUUGUUUUAUAUAUGUUACUAAUAAAUAAAACAAUUUAUACUGUAGAUUUCUUCUUAUAUGCUCCUUUUCCCCUCAAUUUUCACAGUAAAUAAGUGACAAAA